RNAcentral lists this ribosomal RNA (261 nucleotides) under uncultured archaeon. RNAcentral describes it as "partial 16S ribosomal RNA". It matches the Rfam family "Archaeal small subunit ribosomal RNA", at positions 748 to 1009 of the family's 1478-position model. The record is from RNAcentral.
UGGCCGUAAACGAUGUGGACUUGGUGUUGGAAUGGCUCCGAGCUGCUCCAGUGCCGAAGGGAAGCUGUUAAGUCCACCGCCUGGGAAGUACGGUCGCAAGGCUGAAACUUAAAGGAAUUGGCGGGGGAGCACAACAACGGGUGGAGCUUGCGGUUUAAUUGGAUUCAACGCCGGAAAUCUUACCGGGACCGACAGCAACAUGAAGGCCAGGCUGAAGACUUUGCCGGAUUAGCUGAGAGGAGGUGCAUGGCGUAGUCGUGU